Pelobates cultripes (western spadefoot toad) is the source of this 346-nucleotide non-coding RNA. The record is from the annotation of a GenBank genome assembly. NCBI's taxonomy places the organism in Eukaryota, Metazoa, Chordata, Amphibia, Anura, Pelobatidae.
AGUGCUGUGUGUGAUGGGUGUGAGAGUGCUGUGUGUGAGAGUGCUGUGUGAUGUGUGUGAGAGUGCUGUGUGUGAUGUCUUUGAGUGUGCUGUGUGUGAUGGGUGUGAGAGUGCUGUGUGUGGGUGUGAGAGUGCUGUGUGUGAUGUGUGUGAGAGUGCUGUGUGUGAUGUCUGUGAGAGUGCUCUGUGUGAUGGGUGUGAGAGUGCUGCGUGUGAUGGGUGUGAGAGUGCUGUGUGUGAGAGUGUUGUGUGUGAUGGGUGUGGGGUGUGAGAGUGCUGUGUGUGAUGGGUGUAAGAGUGCUGUGUGUGAGAGUGUUGUGUGUGAUGGGUGUGAGAGAGUGCUGUG